RNAcentral lists this long non-coding RNA (470 nucleotides) under Oryza brachyantha (malo sina). RNAcentral's name for it is "long non-coding RNA (OBRA_LNC001165)". The record is from RNAcentral. Lineage: Eukaryota; Viridiplantae; Streptophyta; Magnoliopsida; Poales; Poaceae.
CGCAUACAUAUAAUAGAUAGCUGAGUGGUUCUCUCAUUUUGGAGGGCAACCAUAUUUGACGUGAUCGACCCACCAAGGCUUGUAGGGCAUGGGAGAUGUUGGGAAUUACUCAGUUGCCUCCUGUCGUACCAUCCUGCACCUGGUGUUGCGGUGCUGCACAAGCAAAAAGACACAAAUGACCUGAUCUGUGCUUCGUGGAAUGUUAUUCUUGUUCCAACGUUCGUUGUGAUGUGAUGAGAGCGCAUGCUUCUACAUACAUGGAGAGAUGCUCUGCCUCAGUGAUCCCUUUGUCAUGCUGGUUGAGGGAUUGAGACAGAUCAUGAGAGGUUGAGACGGAUCAUGACGUAUCAUGGUUGCUUAAUCAUACGAGGACUCGUGACAAUUUUAAUUAGACUGCCGAGCAUUUUUGAACAUAAUUAGCAGAAUUGGAGAUGAUUAUUUUUUAGUGAACUAGAUACCAGAUACGAUAC